Molecule: ribosomal RNA, 914 nt
Filed under: uncultured archaeon
Lineage: Archaea
Description: bacterial SSU rRNA
Rfam family: Archaeal small subunit ribosomal RNA
Source: RNAcentral
UUCCGGUUGAUCCCGCCGGACCUGACUGCUAUCGGAUUGAUACUAAGCCAUGCGAGUCAUUGUAGCAAUACAAGGCAGACGGCUCAGUAACGCGUAGUCAACCUACCCUAUGGACGGGGAUAACCUCGGGAAACUGAGAAUAAUACCCGAUAGAACAUUAUACCUGGAAUGGUUUAUGUUUCAAAUAAUUUAUUGCCGUAGGAUGGGACUGCGGCCUAUCAGUUUGUUGGUGAGGUAAUGGCCCACCAAGACUAUUACAGGUACGGGCUCUGAGAGGAGUAGCCCGGAGAUGGGUACUGAGACACGGACCCAGGCCCUAUGGGGCGCAGCAGGCGAGAAAACUUUGCAAUGUGCGAAAGCACGACAAGGUUAAUCUGAGUGGUUUCUGCUAAAGGAACCUUUUGCCAGUCCUAGAAACACUAGUGAAUAAGGGGUGGGCAAGUUCUGGUGUCAGCCGCCGCGGUAAAACCAGCACCUCAAGUGGUCAGGAUGAUUAUUGGGCCUAAAGCAUCCGUAGCCUGCUUUGCCAGUUUUCGGUUAAAUCCAUACGCUUAACGUAUGGGCUGCCGGAAAUACUACAAAGCUAGGGAGUGGGAGAGGUAGACGGUACUCGGGAGGAAGUGGUAAAAUGCUUUGAUCUCUCGAUGACCACCUGUGGCGAAGGCGGUCUACCAGAACACGUCCGACGGUGAGGGAUGAAAGCUGGGGGAGCAAACCGGAUUAGAUACCCGGGUGGUCCCAGCUGUAAACUAUGCAAACUCGGUGAUGCAUUGGCUUGAUGCCAAUGCAGUGCCGCAGGGAAGCCGUUAAGUUUGCCGCCUGGGAAGUACGUACGCAAGUAUGAAACUUAAAGGAAUUGGCGGGGGAGCACCACAAGGGGUGAAGCCUGCGGUUCAAUUGGAGUCAACGCCGGG